UUCCUACGGGGGGCAGCAGUGAGGAAUAUUGGUCAAUGGGCGAGAGCCUGAACCAGCCAAGUCGCGUGAGGGAGGACGGCCCUACGGGUUGUAAACCUCUUUUGCCGGGGGACAAACGGCGGCACGCGUGCCGUCCUGAGGGUACCCGGAGGAAAAGCAUCGGCUAACUCCGUGCCAGCAGCCGCGGUAAUACGGAGGAUGCGAGCGUUAUCCGGAUUUAUUGGGUUUAAAGGGUGCGUAGGCGGGAUGCCAAGUCAGCGGUCAAAUACGGGGGCUCAACCUGCGUCCGCCGUUGAAACUGGCGU
Molecule: ribosomal RNA, 305 nt
Filed under: uncultured bacterium
Lineage: Bacteria
Description: bacterial SSU rRNA
Rfam family: Bacterial small subunit ribosomal RNA
Source: RNAcentral